UUUCCAGAGAUGGAUUGGUGCCUUCGGGAACUGUGAGACAGGUGCUGCAUGGCUGUCGUCAGCUCGUGUUGUGAAAUGUUGGGUUAAGUCCCGCAACGAGCGCAACCCUUAUCCUUUGUUGCCAGCGGUCCGGCCGGGAACUCAAAGGAGACUGCCAGUGAUAAACUGGAGGAAGGUGGGGAUGACGUCAAGUCAUCAUGGCCCUUACGACCAGGGCUACACACGUGCUACAAUGGCGCAUACAAAGAGAAGCGACCUCGCGAGAGCAAGCGGACCUCAUAAAGUGCGUCGUAGUCCGGAUUGGAGUCUGCAACUCGACUCCAUGAAGUCGGAAUCGCUAGUAAUCGUGGAUCAGAAUGCCACGGUGAAUACGUUCCCGGGCCUUGUACACACCGCCCGUCACACCAUGGGAGUGGGUUGCAAAAGAAGUAGGUAGCUUAACCUUCGGGAGGGCGCUUACCACUUUGUGAUUCAUGACUGGGGUGAAGUCGUAACAAGGUAACCGUAGGGGAACCUGCGGUUGGAUCAC
Molecule: ribosomal RNA, 529 nt
Filed under: Escherichia coli
Lineage: Bacteria; Pseudomonadati; Pseudomonadota; Gammaproteobacteria; Enterobacterales; Enterobacteriaceae
Description: bacterial SSU rRNA
Rfam family: Bacterial small subunit ribosomal RNA
Source: RNAcentral